This 219-nucleotide long non-coding RNA is filed under the name Rattus norvegicus (Norway rat). Its description in RNAcentral is "long non-coding RNA NONRATT025501". Lineage: Eukaryota; Metazoa; Chordata; Mammalia; Rodentia; Muridae. The record is from RNAcentral.
AGGGGCGGCUGACAGGGCUGGGAGGGGAGGACCUCCCCACCAUCGUCAUCGUAGCUCACUACGACGCCUUUGGGGUAGCUCCAUGGCUGUCACUGGGUGCAGACUCGAACGGGAGUGGCAUCUCUGUACUGCUGGAGCUGGCUCGCCUCUUCUCACGCCUCUACACGUACAAGCGCACUCAUGCAGCGUGAGUUCCGGGGGUGGGGGUGGGGGCUGGUC